AUUGAACGCUGGCGGCAGGCUUAACACAUGCAAGUCGAGCGGAGCGAGGGUGCUUGCACCUUAGCUUAGCGGCGGACGGGUGAGUAAUGCUUAGGAAUCUGCCUAUUAGUGGGGGACAACAUUCCGAAAGGAAUGCUAAUACCGCAUACGCCCUACGGGGGAAAGCAGGGGAUCUUCGGACCUUGCGCUAAUAGAUGAGCCUAAGUCGGAUUAGCUAGUUGGUGGGGUAAAGGCCUACUAAGGCGACGAUCUGUAGCGGGUCUGAGAGGAUGGUCCGCCACACUGGGACUGAGACACGGCCCAGACUCCUACGGGAGGCAGCAGUGGGGAAUAUUGGACAAUGGGCGGAAGCCUGAUCCAGCCAUGCCGCGUGUGUGAAGAAGGCCUUUUGGUUGUAAAGCACUUUAAGCGAGGAGGAGGCUACUUAGAUUAAUACUCUGGGAUAGUGGACGUUACUCGCAGAAUAAGCACCGGCUAACUCUGUGCCAGCCGCCGCCGUAA
RNAcentral lists this ribosomal RNA (501 nucleotides) under uncultured bacterium. RNAcentral describes it as "partial 16S ribosomal RNA". It matches the Rfam family "Bacterial small subunit ribosomal RNA", at positions 30 to 523 of the family's 1533-position model. The record is from RNAcentral.